RNAcentral lists this ribosomal RNA (450 nucleotides) under uncultured bacterium. RNAcentral describes it as "partial 16S ribosomal RNA". It matches the Rfam family "Bacterial small subunit ribosomal RNA", at positions 29 to 523 of the family's 1533-position model. The record is from RNAcentral.
AACGAACGCUGGCGGCAUGCCUAACACAUGCAAGUCGAACGAGAUCUUCGGGUCUAGUGGCGCACGGGUGCGUAACGCGUGGGAAUCUGCCCUUUGGUUCGGAAUAACAGUUGGAAACGACUGCUAAUACCGGAUGAUGACGAAAGUCCAAAGAUGUUAUCGCCAGAGGAUGAGCCCGCGUAGGAUUAGCUAGUUGGUGUGGUAAAGGCGCACCAAGGCGACGAUCCUUAGCUGGUCUGAGAGGAUGAUCAGCCACACUGGGACUGAGACACGGCCCAUACGCCAACGGGGGGCAGCAGUGGGGAAUAUUGGAAAAUGGGCGAAAGCCUGUUCAAGCAAUGCCGCGUGGGUGAUGAGGGCCUUAGGGUUGUAAACCUCUUUUACCCGGGAUGAUAAUGACAGUACCGGGAGAAUAAGCUCCGGCUAACUCCGUGCCAGCCGCCGCCGUAA